AGCGAACGCUGGCGGCAGGCCUAACACAUGCAAGUCGAACGGACUCUUCGGAGUUAGUGGCGGACGGGUGAGUAACACGUGGGAACGUGCCUUUUGGUUCGGAAUAACUCAGGGAAACUUGUGCUAAUACCGAAUGUGCCCUUCGGGGGAAAGAUUUAUCGCCAUUAGAGCGGCCCGCGUCUGAUUAGCUAGUUGGUGAGGUAACGGCUCACCAAGGCGACGAUCAGUAGCUGGUCUGAGAGGAUGACCAGCCACACUGGGACUGAGACACGGCCCAGACUCCUACGGGAGGCAGCAGUGGGGAAUCUUGCGCAAUGGGCGAAAGCCUGACGCAGCCAUGCCGCGUGAAUGAUGAAGGUCUUAGGAUUGUAAAAUUCUUUCAACGGGGACGAUAAUGACGGUACCCGGAGAAGAAGCCCCGGCUAACUUCGUG
Molecule: ribosomal RNA, 433 nt
Filed under: uncultured bacterium
Lineage: Bacteria
Description: partial 16S ribosomal RNA
Rfam family: Bacterial small subunit ribosomal RNA
Source: RNAcentral